This 488-nucleotide ribosomal RNA is filed under the name Vibrio sp. RNAcentral's name for it is "bacterial SSU rRNA". It matches the Rfam family "Bacterial small subunit ribosomal RNA", at positions 388 to 868 of the family's 1533-position model. The record is from RNAcentral. Lineage: Bacteria; Pseudomonadati; Pseudomonadota; Gammaproteobacteria; Vibrionales; Vibrionaceae.
GCAGCCAUGCCGCGUGUGUGAAGAAGGCCUUCGGGUUGUAAAGCACUUUCAGUCGUGAGGAAGGUGGUGUAGUUAAUAGCUGCAUUAUUUGACGUUAGCGACAGAAGAAGCACCGGCUAACUCCGUGCCAGCAGCCGCGGUAAUACGGAGGGUGCGAGCGUUAAUCGGAAUUACUGGGCGUAAAGCGCAUGCAGGUGGUUUGUUAAGUCAGAUGUGAAAGCCCGGGGCUCAACCUCGGAAUAGCAUUUGAAACUGGCAGACUAGAGUACUGUAGAGGGGGGUAGAAUUUCAGGUGUAGCGGUGAAAUGCGUAGAGAUCUGAAGGAAUACCGGUGGCGAAGGCGGCCCCCUGGACAGAUACUGACACUCAGAUGCGAAAGCGUGGGGAGCAAACAGGAUUAGAUACCCUGGUAGUCCACGCCGUAAACGAUGUCUACUUGGAGGUUGUGGCCUUGAGCCGUGGCUUUCGGAGCUAACGCGUUAAGUAGA